Molecule: RNA transcript, 1869 nt
Organism: Rosa chinensis
Lineage: Eukaryota; Viridiplantae; Streptophyta; Magnoliopsida; Rosales; Rosaceae
Gene name: probable N-acetyltransferase HLS1
Exons: 3
Source: RefSeq, a predicted model, not a curated record
AAUUGCUAGAGAGUAGAGACAAAGAACACAUUCUAUUAUUUAGAUUACCUUUCUGUCUACUAUAUAAUAUUAUAAUAAUUCUUUUUGAAGCCUGGCCUAGGCGAUUGAUGUUGAUGAUAGCUCGAAGAGCAUUCCCAGCUCCGUAUAAAUACUCCAUGAACUUAGCUAGCUGCAUAUUAUAGCUAAGCUUUAGAAAGUACAAAGCAAACCUCCCUUUCUUUCUUUCUUCCUUUCUUGCUUUCUUUCUUUCUUCUACUACAACUUACUCCUGCUACGUACGUAUCUUUGAUCUGCAGAGGUUAAUUAGGGUUUCAGAAAUGGGACUAAAGGAGGCUGUAAUUCGAAGCUAUGAUGGUGAAGCGGAUAGAGCUAGAGUGGAAGACCUUGAACGAAGAUGCGAGGUAGGACCAACGGAGCGAGUAUAUCUCUUCACAGACACUAUGGGUGACCCCAUAUGUAGGAUCCGGAACAGUCCGAUGCACAAGAUGCUGGUGGCCGAGUUGGACAACCAGUUGGUUGGAGUCAUUCAAGGCUCGAUAAAGUUGGUGACGGUUCAUAAUAAGCCGCCGCCUAGAGAUCAUGAGGCCAAUCUGGCCAGAGUGGGCUACAUCCUCGGCCUGAGGGUCGCACCAUUCCAUCGUCAAAAAGGGAUUGGUUCCAGACUGGUGUGUUGUUUAGAGGAUUGGUUCGUAGCCAACGACGUAGAUUACUCAUACAUGGCCACCGAGAAAGACAACGAAGCUUCAGUCAGGCUUUUCAUUGAGAAGUUUGGCUACAUCAAGUUCAGGACCCCUGCAAUUCUGGUAAACCCGGUUCGUUGCCGGCCCUGCCACGUCUCUUCCAACGUUGAAAUCGCAAAGCUCAAGGUAGAAGAAGCUGAGUUUCUGUACAGAAAGUGUAUGGCUUCCACUGAUUUCUUUCCUCAUGACAUAAACAAAGUGCUUGGGAACAAACUGAGCUUGGGGACUUGGGUGGCCUAUCCAAGAGGAGAGUUUGGCAAUUUUGAAUCAAAUGGGCAAGCUCUACCAAAAAGUUGGGCUAUGAUUAGUGUAUGGAACAGCGGUGAGGUUUUCAAAUUGAGGCUAGGGAAGGCACCUCUGUCUUGUCUGUUGUAUGCAAAAAGCUGGAGACUGAUGGAUAGGUUUUUGCCUUGCUUUAAAUUACUGCCUUCCAUGCCUGAUUUUUUCAACCCUUUUGGGUUUUACUUCAUGUAUGGGGUGUACCAUGAAGGACCAUUGUCAGGGAAACUGGUGAGGAAUUUGUGCCACUUUGUGCACAACAUGGCUAGUACUACAACUAAGAACUUCUGCUGCAAGGUCGUAGUAACAGAAGUUGGGGGUUAUGACUCAGUACUAAGACAUCACAUCCCACAUUGGAAGUUGCUCUCUUGCUCUGAGGAUUUGUGGUGCAUAAAAGCCAUGAAGAAAAAUGAAGCAGACAGAACCAGCCUUCAUGAAUUGACUAAAACCCAACAAAUAAAUAAAGCUCUUUUUGUUGACCCAAGAGAGGUAUGACCGUAUGAGUGGUGAAAUUAUGAUCAACCCAAAGUCUCCUCGGUCUGCCUCGCGCUGGAUACCCCGCAGGCCAGGAGAUUCAUUAUUUCUAAGCAUGGAAAAGUGUAUAUCAAGCACAAAGAGAACAGAGCCAGCUAGCUAACAUCAAGUUUAAUUACCACAGAGAACUUGUUGUACGUUUUCUUUGUUAAAUAAAGAAACUCGCAGCAAGUGGAGUACACUACAGGUCACAUUUAUUAGGUUCAGUGCUGAAUGGUGAAUAAGUGUUUCACACAUACUGUGAGUGGUUUGAAAGUUCUUUAAUAAUGAUGAGCCAUUGGCAAGAAAAAAAGAAUCAUGCAUGAUUAUGCCCAAA